AUUGAACGCUGGCGGCAGGCCUAACACAUGCAAGUCGAGCGGUAGAGAGAAGCUUGCUUCUCUUGAGAGCGGCGGACGGGUGAGUAAUGCCUAGGAAUCUGCCUGGUAGUGGGGGAUAACGUUCGGAAACGGACGCUAAUACCGCAUACGUCCUACGGGAGAAAGCAGGGGACCUUCGGGCCUUGUGCUAUCAGAUGAGCCUAGGUCGGAUUAGCUAGUUGGUGAGGUAAUGGCUCACCAAGGCGACGAUCCGUAACUGGUCUGAGAGGAUGAUCAGUCACACUGGAACUGAGACACGGUCCAGACUCCUACGGGAGGCAGCAGUGGGGAAUAUUGGACAAUGGGCGAAAGCCUGAUCCAGCCAUGCCGCGUGUGUGAAGAAGGUCUUCGGAUUGUAAAGCACUUUAAGUUGGGAGGAAGGGCAUUAACCUAAUACGUUAGUGUUUUGACGUUACCGACAGAAUAAGCACCGGCUAACUCUGUGC
Molecule: ribosomal RNA, 485 nt
Filed under: uncultured bacterium
Lineage: Bacteria
Description: bacterial SSU rRNA
Rfam family: Bacterial small subunit ribosomal RNA
Source: RNAcentral